AUUUUGAUUGACAGCACAAGCACGCUACUACAAAUGUAGCACGGACUUCCUGUGAACUUGAUGAUGGAAAAUAAAAGCCAAUGAUUACUGUCAAAUGGAUUUCUCAGGUGAGCUAAAAAAAGAUUACCUUUAUUGCUUGGAAUAUUUAGGAAAAAUUAAUAGAAUUUUUAUUUUAUACAACAUAUAUCUGAGAAUCAAGGGGGUUAUCUCUCUCUCUUACUCUCUCCCUCUCUCUCUCUCUCUCGUACAUUUCUCUGUUCAAUAAAAAACUAUGACAACACUUUACUUAUUUAGUUUUGAAAAUUUAAUCUUCACAUGUAUUACAAAUAAUUUGAAUGCCUCUUUCCAACAUCUUGACCGAGUAUAAUCACGGCCGGGAAAUGUCUACAGAUACAUGAAGAAGUUAGCUAAAGUAAUCACCAUAAAAGAAUAAAAAGGCACAUAAAUAUAGAAUAUUUUGCAGUAGAA
This is a long non-coding RNA of Saccostrea echinata, 468 nucleotides long. RefSeq lists it as uncharacterized. Lineage: Eukaryota; Metazoa; Mollusca; Bivalvia; Ostreida; Ostreidae. The record is from RefSeq and is a predicted model, not a curated record. The transcript has 2 exons.